UACGUAGGUGGCAAGCGUUGUCCGGAUUUACUGGGCGUAAAGAGCGCGCAGGCGGUGGAUUAAGUCGAGUGUGAAAGCCCCCGGCUCAACUGGGGAGGGUCACUUGAUACUGGUCGACUCGAAGGCAGGAGAGGGAAGUGGAAUUCCCGGUGUAGUGGUGAAGUGCGUAGAUAUCGGGAGGAACACCAGUGGCGAAGGCGACUUCCUGGCCUGUUCUUGACGCUGAGGCGCGAAAGCUAGGGGAGCAAACGGG
RNAcentral lists this ribosomal RNA (253 nucleotides) under uncultured Acidobacteriota bacterium. RNAcentral's name for it is "uncultured Acidobacteria bacterium partial 16S ribosomal RNA". It matches the Rfam family "Bacterial small subunit ribosomal RNA", at positions 524 to 776 of the family's 1533-position model. The record is from RNAcentral. Lineage: Bacteria; Pseudomonadati; Acidobacteriota.